Molecule: ribosomal RNA, 690 nt
Filed under: uncultured Acidobacteriota bacterium
Lineage: Bacteria; Pseudomonadati; Acidobacteriota
Description: bacterial SSU rRNA
Rfam family: Bacterial small subunit ribosomal RNA
Source: RNAcentral
GAUCCUGGCUCAGAAUCAACGCUGGCGGCGUGCCUCAGACAUGCAAGUCGAACGAUUAAACUUUCCUUCGGGAAAGAUAUAAAGUGGCGCACGGGUGAGUAACACGUAGGUAAUGUGCCUUUGGGUGGGGAAUAACUUAGGGAAACUUAAGCUAAUACCGCAUAAUGCAGCGGCUCCUUCGGGAGACAGUUGUUAAAGAUUUAUCGCCUAAAGAGCAGCCUGCGGCAGAUUAGCUAGUUGGUAAGGUAACGGCUUACCAAGGCUACGAUCUGUAUCCGACCUGAGAGGGUGGUCGGACACACUGACACUGAAUAACGGGUCAGACUCCUACGGGAGGCAGCAGUCGGGAAUUUUGGGCAAUGGGCGAAAGCCUGACCCAGCAACGCCGCGUGAAGGAUGAAGUCUUUCGGGAUGUAAACUUCGUAAGAAUAGGAAGAAUAAAUGACGGUACUAUUUGUAAGGUCCGGCUAACUACGUGCCAGCAGCCGCGGUAAUACGUAGGGACCAAGCGUUGUUCGGAUUUACUGGGCGUAAAGGGCGCGUAGGCGGCGUGUCAAGUCAAUUGUGAAAUCUCCGAGCUUAACUCGGAACGGUCAAUUGAUACUGAUGUGCUAGAGUGCAGAAGGGGCAAUCGGAAUUCUUGGUGUAGCGGUGAAAUGCGUAGAUAUCAAGAGGAACACCUGAGGUGAA